GAAGCUUGCUUCUCUGAUGUUAGCGGCGGACGGGUGAGUAACACGUGGAUAACCUACCUAUAAGACUGGGAUAACUUCGGGAAACCGGAGCUAAUACCGGAUAAUAUUUUGAACCGCAUGGUUCAAAAGUGAAAGACGGYCUUGCUGUCACUUAUAGAUGGAUCCGCGCUGCAUUAGCUAGUUGGUAAGGUAACGGCUUACCAAGGCAACGAUGCAUAGCCGACCUGAGAGGGUGAUCGGCCACACUGGAACUGAGACACGGUCCAAACUCCUACGGGAGGCAGCAGUAGGGAAUCUUCCGCAAUGGGCGAAAGCCUGACGGAGCAACGCCGCGUGAGUGAUGAAGGUCUUCGGAUCGUAAAACUCUGUUAUUAGGGAAGAACAUAUGUGUAAGUAACUGUGCACAUCUUGACGGUACCUAAUCAAAAAGCCACGGCUAACUACGUGCCAGCAGCCGCGGUAAUACGUAGGUGGCAAGCGUUAUCCG
This 487-nucleotide ribosomal RNA is filed under the name Staphylococcus aureus. RNAcentral's name for it is "bacterial SSU rRNA". Lineage: Bacteria; Bacillati; Bacillota; Bacilli; Caryophanales; Staphylococcaceae. The record is from RNAcentral.